Molecule: non-coding RNA, 19 nt
Filed under: Arabidopsis thaliana (thale cress)
Lineage: Eukaryota; Viridiplantae; Streptophyta; Magnoliopsida; Brassicales; Brassicaceae
Source: RNAcentral
UUGCUGUUGCCGAAGCUUA